UGGGUUUGACAUCCUUUGACAGUCCCGGAAACGGGAUCUUUCCGACUUUGUCGGAACAGAGUGACAGGUGCUGCAUGGCUGUCGUCAGCUCGUGUCGUGAGAUGUUGGGUUAAGUCCCGCAACGAGCGUAACCCUUGUCUUUAGUUGCCAGUAUUUAGUUAGGCACUCUAAAGAGACUGCCUCGGUUAACGGGGAGGAAGGUGGGGAUGACGUCAAGUCCUCAUGGCCUUUAUACCCAGGGCUACACACGUGCUACAAUGGGCUGUACAAAGGGUAGCUAAUUCGCGAGGAAGCGCUAAUCCCAAAAAGCAGCUCUGGAGUUCGGAUUGGAGUCUGCAACUCGACUCCAUGAAGG
This 355-nucleotide ribosomal RNA is filed under the name uncultured bacterium. Its description in RNAcentral is "bacterial SSU rRNA". It matches the Rfam family "Bacterial small subunit ribosomal RNA", at positions 976 to 1325 of the family's 1533-position model. The record is from RNAcentral.